GACACGGCCCAGACUCCUACGGGAGGCAGCAGUGGGGAAUUUUGGACAAUGGGCGCAAGCCUGAUCCAGCAAUGCCGCGUGUGUGAAGAAGGCCUUCGGGUUGUAAAGCACUUUUGUCCGGAAAGAAAUCCUUUGGCCUAAUACGUCGGGGGGAUGACGGUACCGGAAGAAUAAGCACCGGCUAACUACGUGCCAGCAGCCGCGGUAAUACGUAGGGUGCAAGCGUUAAUCGGAAUUACUGGGCGUAAAGCGUGCGCAGGCGGUUCGCUAAGACAGAUGUGAAAUCCCCGGGCUUAACCUGGGAACUGCAUUUGUGACUGGCGGGCUAGAGUAUGGCAGAGGGGGGUAGAAUUCCACGUGUAGCAGUGAAAUGCGUAGAGAUGUGGAGGAAUACCGAUGGCGAAGGCAGCCCCCUGGGCCAAUACUGACGCUCAUGCACGAAAGCGUGGGGAGCAAACAGGAUUAGAUACCCUGGUAGUCCACGCCCUAAACGAUGUCAACUAGUUGUCGGGUCUUCAUUGACUUGGUAACGUAGCUAACGCGUGAAGUUGACCGCCUGGGGAGUACGGUCGCAAGA
This 577-nucleotide ribosomal RNA is filed under the name uncultured bacterium. RNAcentral's name for it is "bacterial SSU rRNA". It matches the Rfam family "Bacterial small subunit ribosomal RNA", at positions 323 to 893 of the family's 1533-position model. The record is from RNAcentral.